AUCCAACUGAUGAGUACAAAAUGGGACGAAACGCGCGUCCUUGAU
This 45-nucleotide non-coding RNA is filed under the name Schistosoma mansoni. The record is from RNAcentral. Lineage: Eukaryota; Metazoa; Platyhelminthes; Trematoda; Strigeidida; Schistosomatidae.